RNAcentral lists this ribosomal RNA (927 nucleotides) under Triticum aestivum (bread wheat). Its description in RNAcentral is "partial small subunit ribosomal RNA". Lineage: Eukaryota; Viridiplantae; Streptophyta; Magnoliopsida; Poales; Poaceae. The record is from RNAcentral.
AUGACAGCGAGGGAGUGGGUCCAGUGGGAGGAGGAGAUCUUGCUGGAGGACGAUGAUGAGCACCACAAGGAGUGCUUCUACCUCCGCUGCGCCCCACCCCAGGGCGGCGGUGUGAGUGAGAGGGAUCUGGCGGUGGUAGGUAAGUAUUGGCCGUUGCCCGCCGGGAACAUAGUGUACUCGGCGGAUGCGCAGUUGCUGCGGUCCCUCGAGGAGGCGAUUAUCUGUGGGUCAGUGUCGGCUAGGGCGGUCACGGUGGCGGCGGAGAUCACCCAGCUCCGGUGGAAGUCCAGGAAGCAGGUCAUGGACUGGCUCGACUCGCUCAUCUCAGAUCCUCCGUAUGGAGCCUUCGGAUUGGCUUCUCCGGGUGACCAUGACGAUGGUGGUAGCCCUGCAUCUAGCCAGAAGGCGGCCGCCGCAGCACCCGCAGAACUUGCUGCGCCAAGCCCAGUACUGCAAACUCCGGGGAAAGGUGACCAUGAAUCUGCAAAAUCUGCUCCUCCACGGAAGAGAUCCUUCGCCCUGCUGAGUGAUUCUUCCGAGGAAAACAGACUGCAGGUUAGAAAGAACAAGGGCCCUGAUGAACCUGCAAAACCAGUUGCAGAGAAGCUAAGCCUGCAGCAACGCGGUGAGGAGGAGGGAGAUAGAAUCUCCUGUGGUGGCAGCUCAAAUGAUGCCAAGAGGUACCGAGUUGGUCUUACAAAUUUUAUCAGGGUGAGCCUGAAGUGGGUUGAACGUAAGGCUAGAAGCAUACUGGGGUUUUCAGACGGCAGCAGCCAGGAAGGCAUCAAUGACUCUGCCUCCAGUGGAGGGGCUGGCCCGGUGAAUUCAGUGUCUCUGGAAGAGACAUGCACAGCCGAUGAAGAGGCUCCUGUUCCUAUCCCCCCUAUCGACGAACAGCAACUGGUCGACCUGACCAUGUAUGACUAA